CCGUGCUAGGCGGGGAGUUAGCGGUGCCUUGUACCUGCAAUCCGCUACAGCAGGGCUGAAUUCCUGCCCGGAGGCUUUUUGUUGUGAGGUCUGGGCUUGGUAAGGAGUGUUGAUGGUCGGGUCCCGUGCAAUCAGGCUUUGUGAACCCUGUCAGGUCCGGAAGGAAGCAGCAGUAAGCAAAUGACCUGGUGUGCCGCGGGAUGGCCUGGCUGGAGCCACCUGCCAAGUGUCCGCUUGGAACAACGAGUCGAGGGGCGGGUGCACGG
RNAcentral lists this signal recognition particle RNA (266 nucleotides) under Gehongia tenuis. RNAcentral describes it as "Bacterial large signal recognition particle RNA". It matches the Rfam family "Bacterial large signal recognition particle RNA". Rfam says of the family: The signal recognition particle (SRP) is a universally conserved ribonucleoprotein involved in the co-translational targeting of proteins to membranes. Lineage: Bacteria; Bacillati; Bacillota; Clostridia; Christensenellales; Christensenellaceae. The record is from Rfam by way of RNAcentral.